This 253-nucleotide ribosomal RNA is filed under the name uncultured bacterium. RNAcentral's name for it is "partial 16S ribosomal RNA". It matches the Rfam family "Bacterial small subunit ribosomal RNA", at positions 524 to 776 of the family's 1533-position model. The record is from RNAcentral.
UACAGAGGUCUCAAGCGUUGUUCGGAUUCAUUGGGCGUAAAGGGUGUGUAGGUGGCGCUGUAAGUCAGGUGUGAAAUUUCGGAGCUUAACUCCGAAACUGCAUUCGAUACUGCGGUGCUUGAGGACUGGAGAGGAGACUGGAAUUCAUGGUGUAGCAGUGAAAUGCGUAGAGAUCAUGAGGAAGACCAGUGGCGAAGGCGGGUCUCUGGACAGUUCCUGACACUGAGACACGAAGGCCAGGGGAGCAAACGGG